This is a long non-coding RNA of Oncorhynchus nerka (sockeye salmon), 1104 nucleotides long. RefSeq lists it as uncharacterized. The transcript has 3 exons. The record is from RefSeq and is a predicted model, not a curated record. NCBI's taxonomy places the organism in Eukaryota, Metazoa, Chordata, Actinopteri, Salmoniformes, Salmonidae.
UGUUCUCUCCAUUCCAGAAUGUGAUUGAUACGUAACAGUACAUUUUAUCCGCGCUGCCCUCAAACUAAAGCACGCAGCCUGUUUAUAUUUAUAAGUUGUUUUAACUUCAAUUUAAAAUGAUUUUCAAACAAGUUUUUAUUUUCUAAAAACAGUUUGAAUUUAGGUGUGUUCCGCCUCCUCAUUCAUUCACAUAAAAUAGUCAUUUUUACUUUUGCGGAUAAUUACAUUUUUGGGACAUUUCUGACAGGGACAAAAUUCCCCAAGCACUUCCCAAUUGUUUGUGCAGUUCACGUCUGCAGACAUUUGCUCAUCUCCCGUCAGAACAGGAUCUGCACACGUGUUCACAUUUUCUAUUCCACAUUUCUAUUGUAGCGUACUGUAUGUAUAGAGCAUAAUAUAUUUGUGUAUAUUCUUUAUCACCGCGGAAACGUGAGCUACCAUGGCCUUAUGACUCUCAAGUGGUGCAGCGGUCAAAGGCACAGCACAUCAGUACUAGAGGUGUCACUACAGACUCCCUGGUUCAAAUCCAGGCUGCGUUUCCAUCAAAAAACAUUAUUUGCCAAUAUCAUAACUGAAGCUGGACAUCUUUGGAGCAUAAGAAUGAGGACAGCUUUUGUAUGCUAACGUACACUCCUUAACAGUUGUACUGGAUGAAAACACAGCAAGAAAACGCAUGCCAAUAUGUAAUAUUCAUCUAUUUUAUUGCAGUACUGGUAGUUAUUUCAACAACUUGUUUUACUAGAGGACAAAAAACUGAAUAUGCGUAACCCAUAUUUAAUAUCCAUGCAGUGACUGAACAACAACUGCAUUUCCACCCCCAUCUCUAAGGCAUAGUAUCAUGGCUGGUCACCUGUCAAGUCACAUGUCAGGUCAGUCAGUCACCUAUUGCUGCAGAUGUGCUCAAUAAUGCUUGAGUAUGUGAUACUCCUCAAAGCAUGGUGAAAUACAUAGAGGUGUAUCACAAGCUAGACACAUGUAUUUUGUCAUCUUCCUCUGCUUACUUCUCCUGGCGCCAGACAGGCAGACUUUGCAAUGCCUCCGUGUGCGACUACCUUGAGAAGCAGUUUGAGGGACUUUGCAGGGAAAAUGUCGUGCAGUGAGGCG